CAUGAACAGUAAUUUAAUAAUCUUAGUAUUAAUAGUUAUGGUCUUUAAAUUAAAAGAAUUUGGCGGUAAUUUAGUCUGUUCAGAGGAAUCUGCCCUGUAAUCGAUGUUCCACGAUGAAUUUUACUUUAUCUACGCUUGUAUAUCUCUGUCAUUGAAUGUCUUAAUAGGGUAUUUUCUUGAAUCUUUAAUGAGUAAAAUGUCAGGUCAAGGUGCAGCAAUGAUAAAGAAGAGGUGGAUUACAUUGAAUGUAUUUAUGGAUAGUGAAUAUGUAAAUGUUCUGGAAAUUGGAUUUGAAGGUAAUUUCUAUUAGAAUGUAGAUUUGACUUUAGCUCUAAAUUAUGC
RNAcentral lists this ribosomal RNA (342 nucleotides) under Triatoma garciabesi. RNAcentral's name for it is "partial 12S ribosomal RNA". The record is from RNAcentral. Lineage: Eukaryota; Metazoa; Arthropoda; Insecta; Hemiptera; Reduviidae.